Talpa occidentalis (Iberian mole) is the source of this 249-nucleotide long non-coding RNA. RefSeq lists it as uncharacterized. The record is from RefSeq and is a predicted model, not a curated record. Lineage: Eukaryota; Metazoa; Chordata; Mammalia; Eulipotyphla; Talpidae. The transcript is spliced from 3 exons.
UAUAAAAUCAGACGCGGACUUUGGGGCUCUGUCUUGGCCUCCUGGCUCUUGGCUCUUCCCAGCUCUCAUGUGCCAUUGGGAUUCCAGGACAGCGGAACAGGCCUCCUGCCUCGAUCUUCUCAAAACACAGAAAUAAACAGUUGCUAUUGCUAUCAUACAGCCAAACAUGAGCUCAAGUGAAAGCACUGGGUACAGUCAGAAGCGCAGGAGGGUGAGAGAAUUCACCAGAGCCAGAGCGGGGAGCAGAGC